RNAcentral lists this long non-coding RNA (920 nucleotides) under Drosophila guanche. Lineage: Eukaryota; Metazoa; Arthropoda; Insecta; Diptera; Drosophilidae. The record is from RNAcentral.
GCUGAGCGUUAAAUUCUCAUCUGGCUGCCACAACCGAACAGAACAAACGUCAGUGGUUCAAAUGCGGACAUUUUUAAUAUUUGUCUGACAGAUCUUAAAUAGAAAUAUAACACGGCUCAAAAAAAAAAAAAGAAAAAAAGUGAUGAGGCGCGUUGGUACUAGUUUGUUGAACACAAUUGUACAUAUGUACAUAUAUUUCUGUGGGUAUUCGCUUAAAUAUAGAUCGAUACUAUAGUCCGCUUCAAUAUAAAAGAAGAACGCACUCGCCCGUUCGGAGACAGAUCCCGUUCAAUCCCCGAACCGAGUAUGAAAUCGAUCGGACUUGCCUUAUCUGUGCUGCUUCUUUGCUGCCUUCUGGCUGUGGUCAACGGUAAUUGAUAUUAAAUCGUGAUUUCUAGUGGGUGACAUCUCUAUUGACAGAGGAAACAACUUUCUUUGUUUAACUUGCAGCCACGCCUGGUAAGGUGUACAUUAACGGAAAAUGCAUUGAUUGCAAUCGACCAGAUGGCGACGAUUCUAUAGUUAUUCCCGAGGAACCCAGGUCGGGAGCAAUGUCCUACGCUCUCACAUCUGGAGCCAUACUAUUUGGAGCACUAUAUCAUCUUUUAAGUUAGUUCUACGUGUAGUAUGAAUAUGAAUAAAAAACAUCAAAUAUCAAAGCUAUUAUCCUAUACAUUGUAUGUAAAGUUAGUUGCGUCAGAGGAAUACUCCUCACACCAGCUACGCAAGGAAUCAAUCAAGAACAAUCGUUCACUGAUAAACGAGAAAAUACGUAUAGAUCCAAACUUAUACCAUUGUAAUUAUAAUGGAUUCGAAUGUAUAAAAAUUGAUUAUUCUUUAAUAAAUAAUAAAUAAACAUUUAUUCUCGCCUUGGCAAGUUCCAUGUAAACGUUAUUCUAGAUAAGCGAACGGAGCCAGAC